Molecule: ribosomal RNA, 450 nt
Filed under: uncultured bacterium
Lineage: Bacteria
Description: bacterial SSU rRNA
Rfam family: Bacterial small subunit ribosomal RNA
Source: RNAcentral
GUGGGGAAUUUUGGACAAUGGGCGAAAGCCUGAUCCAGCCAUGCCGCGUGCAGGAUGAAGGCCUUCGGGUUGUAAACUGCUUUUGUACGGAACGAAAAGACUCCUUCUAAUAAAGGGUGUCCAUGACGGUACCGUAAGAAUAAGCACCGGCUAACUACGUGCCAGCAGCCGCGGUAAUACGUAGGGUGCAAGCGUUAAUCGGAAUUACUGGGCGUAAAGCGUGCGCAGGCGGUUAUAUAAGACAGAUGUGAAAUCCCCGGGCUCAACCUGGGAACUGCAUUUGUGACUGUAUAGCUAGAGUACGGUAGAGGGGGAUGGAAUUCCGCGUGUAGCAGUGAAAUGCGUAGAUAUGCGGAGGAACACCGAUGGCGAAGGCAAUCCCCUGGACCUGUACUGACGCUCAUGCACGAAAGCGUGGGGAGCAAACAGGAUUAGAAACCCUGGUAGUCC